GAUGAACGCUGGCGGCGUGCCUAAUACAUGCAAGUAGAACGCUGAAGGAGGAGCUUGCUCUUCUGGAUGAGUUGCGAACGGGUGAGUAACGCGUAGGUAACCUGCCUGGUAGCGGGGGAUAACUAUUGGAAACGAUAGCUAAUACCGCAUGACAACAGUUAUUGCAUGAUAACUGUUUAAAAGGGGCAGCUGCUCCACUACCAGAUGGACCUGCGUUGUAUUAGCUAGUUGGUGAGGUAACGGCUCACCAAGGCGACGAUACAUAGCCGACCUGAGAGGGUGAUCGGCCACACUGGGACUGAGACACGGCCCAGACUCCUACGGGAGGCAGCAGUAGGGAAUCUUAGGCAAUGGACGGAAGUCUGACCGAGCAACGCCGCGUGAGUGAAGAAGGUUUUCGGAUCGUAAAGCUCUGUUGUAAGAGAAGAACGAGUGUGAGAGUGGAAAGUUCACACUGUGACGGUAUCUUACCAGAAAGGGACGGCUAACUACGUG
This 495-nucleotide ribosomal RNA is filed under the name uncultured bacterium. RNAcentral describes it as "partial 16S ribosomal RNA". It matches the Rfam family "Bacterial small subunit ribosomal RNA", at positions 28 to 507 of the family's 1533-position model. The record is from RNAcentral.